This 253-nucleotide ribosomal RNA is filed under the name uncultured bacterium. Its description in RNAcentral is "partial 16S ribosomal RNA". It matches the Rfam family "Bacterial small subunit ribosomal RNA", at positions 524 to 776 of the family's 1533-position model. The record is from RNAcentral.
UACAGAGGGUGCGAGCGUUGUCCGGAAUCACUGGGCGUAAAGGGCGCGUAGGUGGCGACCCAAGUCUGUGGUGAAAGCUCGACGCUCAACGUCGAGUCGGCCAUAGAUACUGGGUUGCUUGAGCACUGUAGAGGCAGAUGGAAUUCCGGGUGUAGCGGUGGAAUGCGUAGAGAUCGGGAAGAACAUCAGUGGCGAAGGCGGCCUGCUGGGCUGUUGCUGACGCUGAGGCGCGACAGCGUGGGGAGCAAACAGG